RNAcentral lists this ribosomal RNA (497 nucleotides) under uncultured bacterium. Its description in RNAcentral is "partial 16S ribosomal RNA". It matches the Rfam family "Bacterial small subunit ribosomal RNA", at positions 28 to 507 of the family's 1533-position model. The record is from RNAcentral.
GAUGAACGCUGGCGGCGUGCCUAAUACAUGCAAGUCGAGCGAACGGACGAGAAGCUUGCUUUUCUGAUGUUAGCGGCGGACGGGUGAGUAACACGUGGAUAACCUACCUAUAAGACUGGGAUAACUUCGGGAAACCGGAGCUAAUACCGGAUAAUAUUUUGAACCGCAUGGUUCAAAAGUGAAAGACGGUCUUGCUGUCACUUAUAGAUGGAUCCGCGCUGCAUUAGCUAGUUGGUAAGGUAACGGCUUGCCAAGGCAACGAUGCAUAGCCGACCUGAGGGGGUGAUCGGCCACACUGGAACUGAGACACGGUCCAGACUCCUACGGGAGGCAGCAGUAGGGAAUCUUCCGCAAUGGGCGAAAGCCUGACGGAGCAACGCCGCGUGAGUGAUGAAGGUCUUCGGAUCGUAAAACUCUGUUAUUAGGGAAGAACAUAUGUGUAAGUAACUGUGCACAUCUUGACGGUACCUAAUCAGAAAGCCACGGCUAACUACGUG